UCCGUAGGCGGUGCGGCAAGUCGGAAGUGAAAUCUCUGGGCUUAACCCAGAGGCUGCUUCCGAAACUGCCGUGCUAGAGUGCGAGAGAGGCGAGUGGAAUUGCGGGUGUAGCGGUGAAAUGCGUAGAUAUCCGCAGGAACAUCCGAGGCGAAAGCGGCUCGCUGGAUCGCAACUGACGCUGAGGGACGAAAGCUAGGGGAGCAAACAGGAUUAGAUACCCUGGUAGUCCUAGCCCUAAACCAUCAGGACUUGGGGUUUGCCCUGUACGGGGCAAGUCCCGCAGCUAACGCGUUAAGUCCUGCGCCUGGGGAGUACGGUCGCAAGGCUGAA
Molecule: ribosomal RNA, 330 nt
Filed under: uncultured bacterium
Lineage: Bacteria
Description: bacterial SSU rRNA
Rfam family: Bacterial small subunit ribosomal RNA
Source: RNAcentral